RNAcentral lists this ribosomal RNA (116 nucleotides) under uncultured bacterium. Its description in RNAcentral is "partial 16S ribosomal RNA". It matches the Rfam family "Bacterial small subunit ribosomal RNA", at positions 1367 to 1482 of the family's 1533-position model. The record is from RNAcentral.
UACGUUCCCGGCUUGUACACACCGCCCGUCACACCACGAAAGUCGGCAAUACCCGAAGCCGGUGGCCUAACCCGUAAGGGAGGGAGCCGUCGAAGGUAGGGUCGAUGAUUGGGGUG